CCUACGGGUGGCAGCAGUCGAGAAUCAUUCACAAUGGGGGAAACCCUGAUGGUGCGACGCCGCGUGGGGGAAUGAAGGUCUUCGGAUUGUAAACCCCUGUCAUGUGGGAGCAAAUUAAAAAGAUAGUACCACAAGAGGAAGAGACGGCUAACGCGGUGCCAGCAGCCGCGGUAAUACAGAGGUCUCAAGCGUUGUUCGGAAUCACUGGGCGUAAAGCGUGCGUAGGCUGUUUCGUAAGUCGUGUGUGAAAGGCGCGGGCUCAACCCGCGGACGGCACAUGAUACUGCGAGACUUGAGUAAAGGAGAGGGGAGCGGAAUUCUCGGUGUAGCGGUGAAAUGCGUAGAUAUCGGGAGGAACACUCGUGGCGAAGGCGGGUUCCUGGACAUUAACUGACGCUGAGGCACGAAGGCGAGGGGAGCGAAAGGGAUUAGAUACCCCAGUAGUC
Molecule: ribosomal RNA, 446 nt
Filed under: uncultured bacterium
Lineage: Bacteria
Description: partial 16S ribosomal RNA
Rfam family: Bacterial small subunit ribosomal RNA
Source: RNAcentral